AUAAAAUUAAGUUAAAGUAUUGAAUUAAAGAUUUAUGUUUAGUAAAAAUUUUAUAUGUUAAAGUAAUGGGUAUAGGAAUAUUUUUGAAAAUGUGUACUGAGAAGGGUGUUAUUAAUUUAUUUUUAGUAAAAUUUAGUUUUUGUACCUUUUGCAUAAUGGUUUAAUAAUAUUAUUUGAAUCAUCUUUUUUUUCUCGAAAUAAAAAGAUUUAUUUGUUUUAAUAUAUAUAUAUAUAUAUAUAUAUAUAUAUAUAUAUAUAUAUAGUAGUUAACGUAGUAUAGUUAUUAUUUUAGAAUUAGAUGGUAGUGAAAUGCUAUUCGUUUUUUAUGGUAGCUAGUUUAUUAAUUUUUUUCAUUUUAGUGUAAAUUAAAGUUAGUUAUGUUAAGUAAUUUUGUUUUAAUGAAAGUAUUGAGGGAUAAGCUUCUUAUAUGUUGUAAGAUUUUUUAGUUUAAUAUAUAAUUGAAGUUGAAUUAAUAAUUUUUCUUUUAAAUAUUUAAGAGUAUAUAAUUAUGGUGAAAUUCUUAAUUAAUGAGUUAAUAAAUGACUUUUAUUUAAUAAAAGUUAUAUAUAAUGUUAAAAUGAGUAUUAUAAAAUAUGUAUAUAUUUUGUUUUGAUAUUUGAUUUAAAUUUAAAGAUUGAAUGUGUAAAAUAUGUUGUGUAAUAAAUUGAAAUAAAGGAAUUCGGCAAAAGAUAAUUUCGCCUGUUUAUCAAAAACAUGUCUCUUUGAGUUUUUUUAAUAAAGAGUUUGGCCUGCUCGGUGAUUUUAUUUAACAGCUGCGGUAUUAUAACUGUACUAAGGUAGCAUAAUAAUUUGCCUUAUAAAUUGGGGCUAGAAUGAAUGGUUUGACGAGAAUUAAGCUGUCUCUAUUUCAUUUAUUAGAAAUUAAUUUUUAUAGUGAGAAAGCUUAAAUGGUUUAAAGGGACGAAAAGACCCUAUUGAGCUUAAUGUUAUUAUAUAAAUUUAUUUUGUUAGUUUAUAUUUAAAUUGAUGAUAAUUUUUAUUGUAGGUUUGUUAUUAACUUAACUUUGGUUGGGGUGAUCAAGGAAUAAAAUUAUUUAAUUUUAACUUCCUUAAAUGUCAAUUUUUAUAGAGUAAUAAACCAAAUUUUUUGCUUAGAAGAUAAGUUACCAUAGGGAUAACAGCGUAAUUUUUUUUGAGAGUUCAUAUUGAAAAAAGAGAUUGCGACCUCGAUGUUGGAUUAAAAUUAACCUUAAGGUGUAGAGGCUUUAUUAGGUGAAUCUGUUCGAUUUUUAAAAUUUUACAUGAUCUGAGUUCAAACCGGUGAAAACCAGGUUGGUUUUUAUCUUUUAAAUUUUUUUUAUUUAAUUUAGUACGAAAGGAUUGAUUAUAAUUAAUUUUUUUUAUAAUUAAGU
This 1373-nucleotide ribosomal RNA is filed under the name Octopus salutii. Its description in RNAcentral is "16S ribosomal RNA". The stretch from base 1135 to 1295 matches the Rfam family "Bacterial large subunit ribosomal RNA", at positions 2473 to 2632 of the family's 2925-position model. The record is from RNAcentral. Lineage: Eukaryota; Metazoa; Mollusca; Cephalopoda; Octopoda; Octopodidae.